CAGCCGCCGCGGUAAUACGGAGGAUCCAAGCGUUCUCCGGAUUUAUUGGGUUUAAAGGGUGCGUAGGCGGCUUAUUAAGUCAGGGGUGAAAGACGGUGGCUCAACCAUCGCAGUGCCUUUGAUACUGAUGAGCUUGAAUAUACUUGAGGUAGGCGGAAUGUGACAAGUAGCGGUGAAAUGCAUAGAUAUGUCACAGAACACCGAUUGCGAAGGCAGCUUACCAAGGUAUGAUUGACGCUGAGGCACGAAAGCGUGGGGAUCAAACAGGAUGAGAUACCCUGGUAGUCCACGCCCUAAACGAUGAAUACUCGAUGUUGGCGAUAUACAGUCAGCGUCCAAGCGAAAGCGUUAAGUAUUCCACCUGGGGAGUACGGCCGCAAGGUUGAAACUUAAAGGAAUUGGCGGG
RNAcentral lists this ribosomal RNA (406 nucleotides) under uncultured microorganism. Its description in RNAcentral is "bacterial SSU rRNA". It matches the Rfam family "Bacterial small subunit ribosomal RNA", at positions 509 to 917 of the family's 1533-position model. The record is from RNAcentral.